UACGGAGGGGGUUAGCGUUGUUCGGAAUUACUGGGCGUAAAGCGCGCGUAGGCGGACCUGCAAGUCGGGGGUGAAAGCCCGAGGCUCAACCUCGGAACUGCCUUCGAUACUGCGGGUCUCGAGUCCGGGAGAGGUGAGUGGAAUUCCUAGUGUAGAGGUGAAAUUCGUAGAUAUUAGGAAGAACACCGGUGGCGAAGGCGGCUCUCUGGACCGAGACUGACGCUGAGGCGCGAAAGCGUGGGGAGCAAACAGG
This 253-nucleotide ribosomal RNA is filed under the name uncultured bacterium. Its description in RNAcentral is "partial 16S ribosomal RNA". It matches the Rfam family "Bacterial small subunit ribosomal RNA", at positions 524 to 776 of the family's 1533-position model. The record is from RNAcentral.